RNAcentral lists this unclassified non-coding RNA (253 nucleotides) under uncultured Gemmatimonadota bacterium. RNAcentral's name for it is "uncultured Gemmatimonadetes bacterium contains 16S-23S intergenic spacer region". It matches the Rfam family "Bacterial small subunit ribosomal RNA", at positions 524 to 776 of the family's 1533-position model. Lineage: Bacteria; Pseudomonadati; Gemmatimonadota. The record is from RNAcentral.
GACGGAGGGCGCAAGCGUUGUUCGGAAUCACUGGGCGUAAAGCGCGCGCAGGCGGAUCUGGAAGUCGGAAGUGAAAGUCCGGGGCUCAACUCCGGAACCGCUCCCGAUACUCCAGGUCUAGGGACCGGUAGAGGCCGGUGGAAUUCCCGGUGUAGCGGUGGAAUGCGUAGAUAUCGGGAAGAACACCCGUGGCGAAGGCGGCCGGCUGGGCCGGAUCCGACGCUCAGGCGCGAAAGCGUGGGGAGCAAACAGG